GACGAACGCUGGCGGCGUGCUUAACACAUGCAAGUCGAACGGAAAGGCCCUGCUUUUGUGGGGUGCUCGAGUGGCGAACGGGUGAGUAACACGUGAGUAACCUGCCCUUGACUUUGGGAUAACUUCAGGAAACUGGGGCUAAUACCGGAUAGGAGCUCCUGCUGCAUGGUGGGGGUUGGAAAGUUUCGGCGGUUGGGGAUGGACUCGCGGCUUAUCAGCUUGUUGGUGGGGUAGUGGCUUACCAAGGCUUUGACGGGUAGCCGGCCUGAGGGGGUGACCGGCCACAUUGGGACUGAGAUACGGCCCAGACUCCUACGGGAGGCAGCAGUGGGGAAUAUUGCACAAUGGGCGGAAGCCUGAUGCAGCAACGCCGCGUGCGGGAUGACGGCCUUCGGGUUGUAAACCGCUUUCGCCUGUGACGAAGCGUGAGUGACGGUAAUGGGUAAAGAAGCACCGGCUAACUACGUGCCAGCAGCCGCGGUGAUACGUAGGGUGCGAGCGUUGUCCGGAUUUAUUGGGCGUAAAGGGCUCAUAGGUGGUUGAUCGCGUCGGAAGUGUAAUCUUGGGGCUUAACCCUGAGCGUGCUUUCGAUACGGGUUGACUUGAGGAAUGUAGGGAGAAUGGAAUUCCUGGUGGAGCGGUGGAAUGCGCAGAUAUCAGGAGGAACACCAGUGGCGAAGGCGGUUCUCUGGGCCUUUCCUGACGCUGAGGAGCGAAAGCGUGGGGAGCGAACAGGCUUAGGUACCCUGGUAGUCCACGCUGUAAACGGUGGGUACUAGGUGUGGGGUCCAUUCCACGGGUUCCGUGCCGUAGCUAACGCUUUAAGUACCCCGCCUGGGGAGUACGGCCGCAAGGCUAAAACUCAAAGGAAUUGACGGGGCCCCGCACAAGCGGCGGAGCAUGCGUAUUAAUUCGAUGCAACGCGUAGAACCUUACCUGGGUUUGACAUGGAUCGGGAGUGCUCAGAGAUGGGUGUGCCUCUUUUGGGGUCGGUUCACAGGUGGUGCAUGCCUGUCGUCAGCUCGUGUCGUGAGAUGUUGGGUUAAGUCCCGCAACGAGCGCAACCCUUGUUCACUGUUGCCAGCACGUUAUGGUGGGGACUCAGUGGAGACCGCCGGGGUCAACUCGGAGGAAGGUGGGGAUGACGUCAAGUCCUCAUGCCCCUUAUGUCCAGGGCUUCACGCAUGCUACAAUGGCUGGUACAGAGAGUGGCGAGCCUGUGAGGGUGAGCGAAUCUCGGAAAGCCGGUCUCAGUUCGGAUUGGGGUCUGCAACUCGACCUCAUGAAGUCGGAGUCGCUAGUAAUCGCAGAUCAGCAACGCUGCGGUGAAUACAUUCCCGGG
This 1342-nucleotide ribosomal RNA is filed under the name uncultured bacterium. RNAcentral's name for it is "16S ribosomal RNA". It matches the Rfam family "Bacterial small subunit ribosomal RNA", at positions 28 to 1378 of the family's 1533-position model. The record is from RNAcentral.